UGGCCGGGGGGGUGCUAAUACAUGCAGUCGAGCGAACAGAUGAGAAGCUUGCUUCUCUGAUGUUAGCGGCGGACGGGUGAGUAACACGUGGGUAACCUACCUAUAAGACUGGGAUAACUCCGGGAAACCGGGGCUAAUACCGGAUAAUAUUUUGAACCGCAUGGUUCAAUAGUGAAAGACGGUUUCGGCUGUCACUUAUAGAUGGACCCGCGCCGUAUUAGCUAGUUGGUAAGGUAACGGCUUACCAAGGCGACGAUACGUAGCCGACCUGAGAGGGUGAUCGGCCACACUGGAACUGAGACACGGUCCAGACUCCUACGGGAGGCAGCAGUAGGGAAUCUUCCGCAAUGGGCGAAAGCCUGACGGAGCAACGCCGCGUGAGUGAUGAAGGUCUUCGGAUCGUAAAACUCUGUUGUUAGGGAAGAACAAAUUUGUUAGUAACUGAACAAGUCUUGACGGUACCUAACCAGAAAGCCACGGCUAACUACGUGCCAGCAGCCGCGGUAAUACGUAGGUGGCAAGCGUUAUCCGGAAUUAUUGGGCGUAAAGCGCGCGUAGGCGGUUUCUUAAGUCUGAUGUGAAAGCCCACGGCUCAACCGUGGAGGGUCAUUGGAAACUGGGAAACUUGAGUGCAGAAGAGGAGAGUGGAAUUCCAUGUGUAGCGGUGAAAUGCGCAGAGAUAUGGAGGAACACCAGUGGCGAAGGCGGCUCUCUGGUCUGUAACUGACGCUGAUGUGCGAAAGCGUGGGGAUCAAACAGGAUUAGAUACCCUGGUAGUCCACGCCGUAAACGAUGAGUGCUAAGUGUUAGGGGGUUUCCGCCCCUUAGUGCUGCAGCUAACGCAUUAAGCACUCCGCCUGGGGAGUACGACCGCAAGGUUGAAACUCAAAGGAAUUGACGGGGACCCGCACAAGCGGUGGAGCAUGUGGUUUAAUUCGAAGCAACGCGAAGAACCUUACCAAAUCUUGACAUCCUUUGACCGCUCUAGAGAUAGAGUCUUCCCCUUCGGGGGACAAAGUGACAGGUGGUGCAUGGUUGUCGUCAGCUCGUGUCGUGAGAUGUUGGGUUAAGUCCCGCAACGAGCGCAACCCUUAAGCUUAGUUGCCAUCAUUAAGUUGGGCACUCUAGGUUGACUGCCGGUGACAAACCGGAGGAAGGUGGGGAUGACGUCAAAUCAUCAUGCCCCUUAUGAUUUGGGCUACACACGUGCUACAAUGGAUAAUACAAAGGGCAGCGAAUCCGCGAGGCCAAGCAAAUCCCAUAAAAUUAUUCUCAGUUCGGAUUGUAGUCUGCAACUCGACUACAUGAAGCUGGAAUCGCUAGUAAUCGUAGAUCAGCAUGCUACGGUGAAUACGUUCCCGGGUCUUGUACACACCGCCCGUCACACCACGAGAGUUUGUAACACCCGAAGCCGGUGGAGUAACCUUUUAGGAGCUAGCCGUCGAAGGUUGAACCAA
This 1457-nucleotide ribosomal RNA is filed under the name Mammaliicoccus sp. RNAcentral's name for it is "bacterial SSU rRNA". It matches the Rfam family "Bacterial small subunit ribosomal RNA". Lineage: Bacteria; Bacillati; Bacillota; Bacilli; Caryophanales; Staphylococcaceae. The record is from RNAcentral.